This 254-nucleotide ribosomal RNA is filed under the name uncultured bacterium. Its description in RNAcentral is "partial 16S ribosomal RNA". It matches the Rfam family "Bacterial small subunit ribosomal RNA", at positions 524 to 776 of the family's 1533-position model. The record is from RNAcentral.
UACGGAGGGUGCGAGCGUUGUCCGGAAUCACUGGGCGUAAAGGGCGCGUAGGUGGCCUGUGGAAGUCUGCGGUGAAAGCCCGGCGCUCAACGCCGGGUCGGCCGUGGAUACUCUCGGGCUCGAGCUUACUAGAGGCAGAUGGAAUUCCGGGUGUAGCGGUGGAAUGCGUAGAGAUCGGGAGGAACACCAGUGGCGAAGGCGGCUCACUGGCUCGGUACUGACGCUGAGGUGCGAAAGCGUGGGGAGCAAACAGG